UACGGGGGGGGCAAGCGUUGUUCGGAAUUACUGGGCGUAAAGGGCUCGUAGGCGGCCAACUAAGUCAGACGUGAAAUCCCUCGGCUUAACCGGGGAACUGCGUCUGAUACUGGAUGGCUUGAGUUUGGGAGAGGGAUGCGGAAUUCCAGGUGUAGCGGUGAAAUGCGUAGAUAUCUGGAGGAACACCGGUGGCGAAGGCGGCAUCCUGGACCAACACUGACGCUGAUGAGCGAAAGCGUGGGGAGCAAACAGG
This 253-nucleotide ribosomal RNA is filed under the name uncultured bacterium. RNAcentral describes it as "partial 16S ribosomal RNA". It matches the Rfam family "Bacterial small subunit ribosomal RNA", at positions 524 to 776 of the family's 1533-position model. The record is from RNAcentral.